This 181-nucleotide non-coding RNA is filed under the name Gammaproteobacteria bacterium. RNAcentral describes it as "6S RNA". It matches the Rfam family "6S / SsrS RNA". Rfam says of the family: E. coli 6S RNA was the first non coding RNA to be sequenced, but its function was unknown until recently. It consists of 184 nucleotides that fold into an extended hairpin structure with a large single-stranded internal bulge. The 6S RNA specifically associates with RNA polymerase holoenzyme containing the sigma70 specificity factor. The record is from RNAcentral. Lineage: Bacteria; Pseudomonadati; Pseudomonadota; Gammaproteobacteria.
CAUCCCCUGCUGUAUGCGACAGUGGCCGAGAUCUCCUUGAGCCUAAUCACCAACCCAGGGGACUUUAUGUGAUGCUGGUGUGCAUGCCCGCCACGUGCGGGAAGCCUGAAGCAUCACUGCUGUCCCCCUCUUGAACCUUUGGUUCAGGGGCAACAGUCACACCGCUACAAGUGGAGGAUGC